Molecule: long non-coding RNA, 231 nt
Filed under: Lathyrus oleraceus (garden pea)
Lineage: Eukaryota; Viridiplantae; Streptophyta; Magnoliopsida; Fabales; Fabaceae
Description: Pisum sativum (pea) long non-coding RNA (PSAT_LNC016137)
Source: RNAcentral
UUAAGACAUCACAUACAACAUCUUGUGAACACUCUUUGUUUUACCAAAAUUGCUGCCAACACUUAGAACCAACAAACUCCCCCGUUGGCAAAUUUUGGCUAAAACAUAUAUCUGUCCCUUUUGUUCACCAGGAAACACAUCAGCAGUUAAACAGCAUAACAGCAGUUUAAAUAGCAGCAGAACCAAACACAGUUACUAGUUAUAGCUACUAGUAAUACACACAUGCACAAG